This 404-nucleotide ribosomal RNA is filed under the name uncultured bacterium. Its description in RNAcentral is "bacterial SSU rRNA". It matches the Rfam family "Bacterial small subunit ribosomal RNA", at positions 358 to 775 of the family's 1533-position model. The record is from RNAcentral.
GGAAUAUUGGACAAUGGGGGGAACCCUGAUCCAGCGACGCCGCGUGAGUGAAGAAGUAUUUCGGUAUGUAAAGCUCUAUCAGCAGGGAAGAAAGAAAUGACGGUACCUGACUAAGAAGCCCCGGCUAACUACGUGCCAGCAGCCGCGGUAAUACGUAGGGGGCAAGCGUUAUCCGGAUUUACUGGGUGUAAAGGGGGCGCAGACGGCCAUGGCAAGCCCGGUGUGAAAGGCAGGGGCAUAACCCCUGGACUGCACUGGGAACUGUCAGGCUGGAGUGCCGGAGGGGUAAGCGGAAUUCCUGGUGUAGCGGUGAAAUGCGUAGAUAUCAGGAGGAACACCGGCGGCGAAGGCGGCUUACUGGACGGCAACUGACGUUGAGGCCCGAAAGCGUGGGGAGCGAACAG